Molecule: microRNA, 23 nt
Filed under: Caenorhabditis elegans
Lineage: Eukaryota; Metazoa; Nematoda; Chromadorea; Rhabditida; Rhabditidae
Description: cel-miR-1833
Source: miRBase by way of RNAcentral
CGAGGCUUGCGAAAUAAGUGUGC